Long non-coding RNA from Eptesicus fuscus (big brown bat), 492 nucleotides. RefSeq lists it as uncharacterized. The transcript is spliced from 3 exons. Lineage: Eukaryota; Metazoa; Chordata; Mammalia; Chiroptera; Vespertilionidae. The record is from RefSeq and is a predicted model, not a curated record.
UACGCAGACUAAAUGUGUAGAAGACCUUGAUUUUAUUUCCAAGUUAUUUUAAAUGAGAAAGGAUUUAUCACCAGCUUAAAAACAACAACAGCAGCAGCUUUGAAGAUGGUGGUAUAAAAGGAUCCUGAACUCCGAUAAACACACCAGAUCUACAGUUGCUUAUGGAAAAACUUUCUUUGAAAACUGGCUGAGUGAAUACUACACAUUGGACGAACAAGAAAAGGCCCACAUGGAAACAGGGUCUGGCUUUUUGGACUUGAUCAUUUUCCUCCCAUGGCUAGAGUGAGCGACCUGUAAACUGCCAGGAAGGAAAUUGACAGAACUUUCAAAAAACCAAAGACUGACAGAAACAAAGUAAAUAAUGACGAAACUGAGCAAUAGAUCACCCAGAAGGAGUGUCCCCUGCCAAAAUGAAUUGGCAUUUCACCCUCUUGAGAAACAAAUGGACACUCUGUCUCCACAGAAGGCCAGGGUCCACAUGUCAACAUCACU